AACUCGGUAGUCGAAUGGUAAAGCGUUCACCGCGGAGCCAGAGGGUCCUGGGUUCGAUUCCUAGUUGGGUUA
Molecule: transfer RNA, 72 nt
Filed under: Schistosoma japonicum
Lineage: Eukaryota; Metazoa; Platyhelminthes; Trematoda; Strigeidida; Schistosomatidae
Description: tRNA-OTHER
Source: RNAcentral